UUUUGAUUUGACAGAACUAGC
RNAcentral lists this microRNA (21 nucleotides) under Caenorhabditis remanei. Its description in RNAcentral is "crm-miR-7598". The record is from miRBase by way of RNAcentral. Lineage: Eukaryota; Metazoa; Nematoda; Chromadorea; Rhabditida; Rhabditidae.